GAUGAACGCUGGCGGCGUGCUUAACACAUGCAAGUCGAACGGAGAUAUCAUUUUCGAAGCGAUUAGUUUACUAAGAGUGGAGAUGUUGGUAUCUUAGUGGCGGACGGGUGAGUAACGCGUGGGUAACCUGCCUUACACUGGGGGAUAACACUUAGAAAUAGGUGCUAAUACCGCAUAACAGGGAAAGAUGCAUGUCUUUUCCUUAAAAACUCCGGUGGUGUAAGAUGGACCCGCGUCUGAUUAGCUUGUUGGCGGGGUAACGGCCCACCAAGGCGACGAUCAGUAGCCGGCCUGAGAGGGUGAACGGCCACAUUGGGACUGAGACACGGCCCAA
RNAcentral lists this ribosomal RNA (334 nucleotides) under uncultured bacterium. RNAcentral describes it as "bacterial SSU rRNA". It matches the Rfam family "Bacterial small subunit ribosomal RNA", at positions 28 to 334 of the family's 1533-position model. The record is from RNAcentral.